UUUCCAGCACGUUUUCUGAAA
This 21-nucleotide non-coding RNA is filed under the name Caenorhabditis elegans. The record is from RNAcentral. Lineage: Eukaryota; Metazoa; Nematoda; Chromadorea; Rhabditida; Rhabditidae.